This is an RNA transcript of Cephus cinctus (wheat stem sawfly), 3488 nucleotides long. RefSeq lists it as uncharacterized. The transcript is spliced from 3 exons. The record is from RefSeq and is a predicted model, not a curated record. Lineage: Eukaryota; Metazoa; Arthropoda; Insecta; Hymenoptera; Cephidae.
GGGGGGCGAUUGCUUUGCUAAUUGGUAUAGGAGAGAUUUGGGUUUUGACGCUGACGAGGACAGAAAGUUUGGCUAUCCCCGCUUCUUGCCAGCCGAGCGCCACAGGUUACGGGCGGCACGUGCACGUUUGCGCGAUUUUGCAAGCGGCUCUAAAAAUAGCGGUGCGCGAUCGCCCGAGGCCGCGCCCGCAGGAACUAAACGCGCUGCGAAUAAGGUAGGAUUACAAUAAUCCCAGCGCGACGUAUCCUUUUUGCGAGCGCCGAUUGGCAUCGGGGGAUUAUUCGCGAAUAAGAGCCAGUCCCCCCGACAGAUCAAACCGACACUCGGCGAUACCCAUUUUUCGACGUCUCGUACUUGUGCCCACCAUCCCCCCGACCGAAGAAGGACCCGCCGCGAUCUCUUCACUUCCUGCCUCCUGAUUAGCUGGAGGCAAAAGGGACUCGGUGGCUUCUUCAAUAAAAACAGCUCCGAGGAAGCUACAGGCGAACCGGAGAAUCCCUGUCGUCGACUCAGCCUUCGAAAAAGGGUCUGGGUUAUCGAUCGCGCUACAGGUUCUUGUACAUUUAGGGGUGAUUUCCAACCGAGCGACGCGCUGGACGCGCGACGCGGAACGUCGAAUGGAUUUCAUAUCGUGGUGAUAUACGCAUGAACGGAUUCUCGCUCCUCUCUAAUAACUAAAAUAUAACGAAGCUUCCGAACUCGCUUGAAUUUAGGGUCCUCAUUGGUUGGUCGGUAACGAAGAACAAAGGGAGUCGAAAAGGCGCAGUUAACGAGCGUGAAGAGGAAGAGUAAUAAAAUAAAAAUAGAGGGAGAGAGAGAGAGAGAGAGAGAGAACAAGGAUGAGUCGCGAUAGCAGCACGAGUAGACGAUGAGAAUCGGUAGAUUCGAGGCUGGUCGGCCCUGCCUACCCGCUUUGGGCCCACCCACGCCCCAGAGACAAGAUGAAAAGGCUCCUUUUUUCUGGGCCCCGUUCCUUCUCCUGGGAGCCGGGACCCAACUGGUGGCGCCCUACCUGACCCACGCUAGGCGUGGGCCACGACUCUCCUCGAUCUUCUCGUCGUUCGCUUUGUGCUCGGCCACUGACACCAUCAUACUCACGUGACCCAACUUUUGCGUCACUUUUUUCCUUGUCCGCUCGUGCCAUGCUCUUUACGUUCAUGUUCUCUGUCUCUAUUGCUCACUCUCUGUCGACGUCAGUUCUACGCUCUUUCUAAUAGACACACGGCGCGUCCUGUUCUCCGGCGGACUCGGGCCAGGCCUGAAUCUAUCAACGAGGAUGCAACUAGAGCGCGCACCGGUCUUUUCCAACUGUUGCGAAUCCGUGGGGUAAGCUUAGGUUGAUUGGGAUAAUUGGAUUUUUGGGUUCUUGGCGACCUGGCUCAAUUUCGUCCUCCUCUUAAAUACCAGCCGGCACUCUGGUUUCUGUGUCGAAUAAAUGUGAAACUUGUCCUGGAAUUAAUCGAGUUCGGAAAGUCAUCGAUUUCGCAGUCAGAAUCGAGCGACUGCCUAGAUAUUUUCGAGCGUAAGAACCGGAUAUCUUUAUGUAAGCAGGACAAAAACCUCCUGCGCAGGUGAGAGCAGGACGUUCAACUCUGCCUAUUUGGUUGUGUGAAACUGAGAGCACACUACGGCUGCCCACGUGACGGAUAUUCGGACGCGGGUCUACCAUUAGGAGGAUCGUGAACUUCCUAUCGCUGUCGAUGUUCUAGAAGGUUUGAGGGGGGGGGGCUCGGUCGAUUGGCAAAAAUUGAAGGUACUCGUGAAAAAUUUGUAUAACAGGAAAAUAAAAAAGAGUUUACGUACGAGUUCAAACGAAUUGGAUCGUCGGUUGUCACAAAGGCGACACCUGUCGGAAAUUAUUGAUUUGCCUACCGAAGGUAAUCCGAUAGGUAGUAACGACACGUCACGCGCCGGAAAGUGCGUUAAGUCUUUUGAUAAUGGAGCGGAACCAGCCGGAUCCCUUUUACCCUCGAGCCAAAUCAACCCCUCUUGAAUACCUCAUAAGCCCGUGUACGUCCAGUACGCAAAACAACCCUUGCGCAACCUGCCCCGAAGACCAUCCGAUUAACGUUUGACGAGGGUGCGUCCAGGACACACUGUCGCGGCAAAAACGGGCCACCAUUACUGCUUUGAUUGGCGAUGUUCGCAGUUAAAAAAAGAAGCCACGGCCAUUACGCGCACGGCGACCACUACAGAAACAUCAAGCGCCCACGACCUCUUCCCCGCUGGCUGUUAGCUUCCUGAAAGCCAAUGCCACACGACUGUACACGCGCUUCCGUAAGUGUUACAUGCUUGUAAUUACCAGAAGAUGCGCAAGACGGAGUCUCGAGCAAGAGCAUGUUACGGUCUCAACACCGAAUCCAUUCCGUACUUCGUUAACCAAAGACCAGCUCCAUUUUCACGAGUAUCGGAAUCCGCUUAUAAGGGUUCCACCCGGUAUAUAGCGCCAACAAAUAUCCCAAUUAUUGAUACCUUGCAAAGGAGACGCUGCUGUCUCGCGCACGAGAAACGAUACGAAGAAAAUUGUUUCUAUUCGCACACUCAGAGUAACUAUGACAUGCAGUGUCAUCGACUGGCAGAGCGACCAAUCAGAACGAUCGAUGAACACUCGUAAGUAUCGCCAAUCUCCGCAAAUAUCGUCAUCACCGUGUGGACAUAGAGAGGGGGGAGCAACGUUUGGUGGAAAAUUUUUACAAAUAAUUCAAAGCCAGUAAAAUUCACUUUUAAGAGAAAUAGGAGGCCGCCGGCUGGAUUCGAACCUGCGACCUGGCCAAUACGAGACUGGCUCUCUAUCCACUGGGCCACGGUCUACCGGCUGAGUGUAAAUUAAAUAUCGUCAACAUAUACACAUACGGUCCAUCCCGAAAAAAAAUUAUAUAACGAAUUACCCCUGCAACCUAUGUACGAACAAAUAAACGAUACAACCCGGUAUAUAUAACAUGAAAGUGAAAUAUAAAAUGUCAGAAUAGCUUUUGCUUACGGUAAUAUAUCAAAGUCAGGACAAAAAACGGAAAUGCUAUCCAGCAGCAUCGGAGACUCAAAAAGCUUUUUAAUUUUCAACGGCAGAAGUUCAAUUCGAUUUCCCGUCCAAUUUCUUUUUUCCCACCCCUGUUCGCCAAGUAUCCACCCUUUCGUCGCCCUAACAAAGUCAAGAGACUUCGUAAGAGGGGUGACGAAAAUGGGUAACAAUGGGGCGUUCUGGAUGUAGGCGCGAGAGCUAAUAAUUCCUCCUAACCCUAUCGCGCGUUUACGGAAAUGGGGACAUCCCCUAAUUUCUCCUCCCGAAUCCCCUCCAACGCUUUCCGUGUUCCGAAUACACACUUUUCCUCCUGUUUCGUCAUUAAUGCCUCAGGCCCGCCAACUACUAUGGUAUUAAAUCAAAGUUCGCCUCAGGCUUGAUGUGACGUCACAAAGGCCUAACGCUGAUCUGAAUGGGUGCCCCUAGCCCCUCCGGCCACCCUCGCCCAUAUGCGAACAUGCAGAUAGCA